Molecule: ribosomal RNA, 426 nt
Filed under: uncultured bacterium
Lineage: Bacteria
Description: bacterial SSU rRNA
Rfam family: Bacterial small subunit ribosomal RNA
Source: RNAcentral
GAAUUUUGGGCAAUGGGCGAAAGCCUGACCCAGCAACGCCGCGUGAGGGAUGAAGGCCCUCGGGUCGUAAACCUCUGUCGGGAGGGGAGAACGGUCGCGAUUCGAACAGGGUCGCGGCCUGACGGUACCUCCAAAGGAAGCCCCGGCUAACUCUGCGCCAGCAGCCGCGGUAAUACGGAGGGUGCAAGCGUUGUUCGGAAUCAUUGGGCGUAAAGCGCGUGUAGGCGGCUUGGCAAGUCGGUUGUGAAAUCCCGGGGCCCAACCCCGGAACUGCAUUCGAAACUGCCUCGCUAGAGUCCCGGAGAGGAAGGCGGAAUUCCCGGUGUAGAGGUGAAAUUCGUAGAUAUCGGGAGGAACACCAGCGGCGAAGGCGGCCUUCUGGACGGUGACUGACGCUGAGACGCGAAAGCGUGGGGAGCAAACAGG